This 2071-nucleotide unclassified non-coding RNA is filed under the name Stegodyphus dumicola. RNAcentral describes it as "mpv17-like protein, transcript variant X1". Lineage: Eukaryota; Metazoa; Arthropoda; Arachnida; Araneae; Eresidae. The record is from RNAcentral.
AGAUGGAGCAGCGAUCUUUGUUUUGAUUGUGUAAUUCUGCUAAGCGAAUUCUGCUGGUGCCUUCAACCCUCAUGCUCUCGUUUUCUGAAGCUUGUUGCUAUAAGAUAUUGUCACUCCCAUUUUUAUUAUUGACCGCUUCUCUUUCAUAUGACGUCACACUGCUGUUGGCACACUUUCUCUUAUCUGAAAAUUCUGUGUUUUCUUAAAAGAUAAAGAAUACAACAUCAGAAAUCGAAAUUAUCAAGUCUGUGUCGUCUGCAUUGGGUGUAAAGAGUAUGCUGAGUAGGGUAAGGCUAAUUUUCCAGAAACGGCCAUUGUUAAUGAACAUGGUCUCAUUUGGGACUAUGUAUGUGGGGGCCGAAGUAGCUCAACAGACUAUACUGGUUUAUACAUCCCCCCAGAAGAAUUCCAUAGAUUGGGGAAGCGUGGGGCGAUAUGCAGUGGUUGGAAUAGUCGGCAUAGGACCGGCACUUUUUUAUUGGUAUCGUAUACUGGACAGGUUGUUGCCAGGAUCCGCAGCAAAAACUGUAGUAAAAAAAGUUCUAUCGGAUCAACUCAUAAGCUCCACUAGUUGUCUUGUGAUAUUUUUUACUGGAAUGGGAAUUUUGGAAGGUAGGGAAGACAUCUUUGCAGAACUCAGGGCGAAAUUCUGGUCCACGUACAGGAUGAGUUGCUGCUUCUGGCUUCCGGCUCAAGCUAUCAACUUCGCUUUUCUCCCCCCGUACACCCGUGUGGCUUUCGUGGGGGUCGCCUCCUUCGUCUGGGUCAACGUCCUCUGCCUCGUCAAAAGACAAGAGGUGCGGUCUCUGACCACGAAACUUUGAUGCUGUUACAUCAUCUAACCCAUUUAAAGCUCACCUGAGCCAUAAAUAUUAACUGUAACCAACUACUCAGAUGGAAAAUUAUCGCUGUUUCUGAGAGUUUAUGGAUGAAUCAUCUGAGGUAAAGUCUGAAGAGAAGAGAUGAAUACUGAAAAAAAGAAGAUGGACAUAAGAAGAAAUAUUUAUAUCCAGUAAAUACCAUUUCGUUGCGUACAGAACUCUGGUCUACAGAGCUUUUUGUAAGAUCUAGGAAGGUGUAAAUAAUCAGUUUGACUUUGAACAAUACCGUAUUUUUCAUAUUUGGGAAGAGCGUGAGAACUUGAUGUUACACGUAUUUAAAGUAUCUAGAUUGGUGAUAUUUUAUGUGAUUAUUUCAUAAAGUUUAUUCACUAAUCGUAAGUGUCGAUUUGCUUAUUUGCAUCUAUCAUGCUAACACUGAGUACUCAUAGAGAUUUUUUAAAACCCAUUCUGGAAAUUUCCUCCUCUCACUCAUGUUUGAUUGACAUUAGAUAAUCCAUUGUGUUUCUUCCUUUUUUUAGGAUCUUUUCCUACUAACAUUUUUUUCAUUAGCCUUGCGCCUCUAUAAGGGUCGGACGUGGUGGCCAUGACGGACAGUUAUAACCAUGCUUUUUCUGGAAUUCGAAGUCAGGAUUACUAACCACUUUACUGGCUGUGCGACUUAGUAGUAAUAUUAUUGACAUGAAAAUUGAAAGCAAUGUUAACAUAAUUUUUUCUUAAAAACCAACUUUUUGGUCAAAUAUAUAUCGAAAUAUUAUUAGUUCCAAACUGAAACAUUUUCACUACUAUCUCCAAACACUUUUGUCCUUGUAGUUGCAGUAAUGACGCAAAAAAAUUCAAACUUCAUUUGUUUUAUGUUUCUGAAGUAUAUGAUUAUUUAGGAUCACGCAGAUCGACCUUUAGUUUCAGUUAGUAACGCCAUAAUUAAAAUGAUAUUCUUUCCACUACCCGAGUUCGAUUCUUGGCAAAUGGGCUGGCUGCGGGAUUUUCCCCAUGUGUGUUUCCCAUCAGCCACUUCCCUUAAAACGUUCUCCACGAAUUUAUUCCUUCCCUUAGGCAAAUAGCCGUCCCUCGUGUGCUUUUCAAUAUUCAAAUAACCUAACAUAACCUAACCUGAAUAUAGAUGCUUUUGUGAAAAUCCGAGCUAAGUUACCUUUCUCAAAAGAAUUUUAUAAGGAAUUCGUCGCGUGUUUUAAAAUAUGUCCAAAAAAAAAAAAAAAAAAAAAAAAAAA